GCUAGGGGAGCCGAUUGCUGAGACUGAGAUUUCCGCGGAAAUCUCUGACCCUUACCACUUGACCCGGAUAAUGCCGGCGUAAGGAAGCGGAU
Molecule: non-coding RNA, 92 nt
Filed under: uncultured Eisenbergiella sp.
Lineage: Bacteria; Bacillati; Bacillota; Clostridia; Lachnospirales; Lachnospiraceae
Source: RNAcentral